GAAUUUGUUUCGAGUCCUCCUGGAUGGCUGGUGUUGUAAAAACUUAGUGGUAGUUUGCAACACACAGCAGCAGUGCCUCACGGUGCAGCAGCUUGAAGAGGCGGCCAAUGGCGCACCCGUGAGGCAACAAUAAACAUGUCUGAUGCCAACACCCAAGGUCAGCUUCGCACAAUCCCUCUCUCUGUAUAACUGCAAGCUUGUGUGAUGUGCUCUGCUUCCUCCUCCCUUUUUUAAUUAAUGGAUCUCUUACUGGGCAAAGCAUGUUCUUUAGGUUGGCAGCACAAAUUAUAUAGCUAAAUUACCUUCAUCAUAAUUAAAUAAUUGUUGCCACUACCAAUGAUCCAUUCGACGACCCUGAUUAUCUUCUGUGAGCUUACUUUGUUAAGCUCCUCUUAUGGCAGGUGGGAGGACCAUUCAACUGACCAAGUACUGUAUGAUGGUAAUAUAAAAUCUGAGAUUAAGUCAUUCAUUCGGCCUGCUGGUUGGGGAGGUACGGUCUUUCUUGCUCCUCUUCUGUUCGAUAAAAAUGCUUGUGAGCUGAAAGACUCUUGUUUGCUUGUUUCCCUUCCUCUCCAGGUUACUCGACAUAUGCCUCGUUGGUCAGCAAGGUUAGAUGUGUUAUAAUUGUUGUGCUUGAUUACUUCUUGCUGCAUCUUCCAUUAGCUUGUGAAAAAUUUGUCCUUGUUUGAUUAUGUUUGCGCUGGUGAUAAUCUUCUGUUUGCUGCUUGGGAAAACACGUGUGCCCCCUGUUUUCCGUGCACUGCAACAUGUUGUGUGUGCAAGAAGUACCAGUUGCAGCUCAUUAUGAAUAUAGUGCCUGCAGCCGUGCUUCAUAAGCGGAUUAGGUGGUGGUUACUACCUACUUACAGAGGACGGUUUGGUGGGUAGAGCUUUAGGAAGGCCUACUGGAACUAAUUAUUUCUUACCUCUUACCCCUUGUUUAGAUGGAAGUUGUUAUUUGAAUUUGUUGUGAGUGGUUAAACUGAGCUGACUCUGAAUGUGCUUUAUGCAAUUAAACUGAUCAGAGCGGUUUAUUUUUGCGUGUCAACUCCAUAUCAAUUGACAGACGAUCACCGAGUCAUGUGAAGCUCUAUAUGUGCAUCAUCUUUUAGUUCUAAGCAACUAUACUGAAUAGGCUUAUAGAGUAUAUGUCUGUUCCUUAAAAAGGGGAUAUGGAGUAGUACGCGGAAGGGGAUCCAGGAGCGGAUCCAGGAGCAAUAUACAUGUAUGUAUAAGCUUAGUACUACUCCAAACCGACGUAGAAUGUUUUUGCUAUGGAUUUUACAAGUUCUGUAGGUUGAGCAUUUUCUGUGAUUUUCCUGAUAAAUCAAUUGUUAGAAUGAAAUCGUUUAUACAUAGGAAAGUCUAGCCUUAGUCUGACAGUAUGACAAGCAAGUAAGUUAAACGAAUAUGGCCAUGUUUCUUCGUAGCAAAUUAAUCUCUCUUUCUCUCAUCUACAGACAGGUCAUGCAUGGCUAACAUCAUAAAGCAUCAACAGCCAGCAACAAGCAGCGACAUGAACAAAGCAGCCAGUGGCAACAAACAACAAUUAACAUCAGCAGCACGCAGCCAGCAACAUGCAGAGGCGAUUUCUCACCCUGUCGGAAGUGGCGAGGUCGGACAGAGCAGAGCAAUGAGCUCGGGACUGCGACUAUGCCGGUCAACGUCAAGGAAGAAGAAGGAGGGACCAGCGGCUUCGAAUCUGCGGUCCAGAGGAGAUGCAGACAAUGCGGAGUUUGUUCGGUGAGGAGGAUGAUUGCGGCGUCACAGGGGCGGCCUCGGCCCAAGAGGUUCCUGCACGCCAGUGCCCGGAAUCACCAUUUAAGGAACGACAAGAGCAGCAAUGGAGCUAGGGGAACUACCUCGGAGUAAGAACGCACCGGAAAAACAAGGUGGUUCAUGGCACGGCGUCCAGCAGGUGUGAAUGUCAGAGCCAGAGGCAUGGACUUCGAUCUGGACUGAGGGCCAGCGUAUCCCGCUAAUUCCUGAAGCUGGUGUUGCAAUGGCGACCGGCGCCGAGCUAAACGACAAAGGGGAUCCAGGAGAAGAGGAAAUGAAGUGAGGAGGGAAGUAGCAGAAAAUGAGAAGUGGCGGGGGUUUGCGGGCGCGUGGCCCUGCGAGAUGGUGACAUGGAUGUGGUUGUUCAGGGCAUCUUCAACAGGUUGUUGGUUAGUUUGUUGAUAAAAUAUGUCAUGUCAUCAGCCAACACCUUAACAUACAACUACUCCAAUGAAUUAUAUCUAGUUUGACCAAUAAGAUACGAGGUAAUAAAUAAGGUGUUCUCUUAUUCUACAUUGGAGCUUGUGCAAGGGUGUUGGUUAGUUUACAUACAACCUUGUUCUUUUUCCUUAUUUAUUGUAUGAC
Molecule: long non-coding RNA, 2364 nt
Filed under: Hordeum vulgare
Lineage: Eukaryota; Viridiplantae; Streptophyta; Magnoliopsida; Poales; Poaceae
Description: long non-coding RNA (HVUL_LNC013680)
Source: RNAcentral